Molecule: non-coding RNA, 4021 nt
Organism: Elaeis guineensis (African oil palm)
Lineage: Eukaryota; Viridiplantae; Streptophyta; Magnoliopsida; Arecales; Arecaceae
Source: RefSeq, a predicted model, not a curated record
UUAAUAGCUGCAGCAAAAUGAUGUAUGAAGAGGGUAAUUUAUACAUAAGGGCAUAAAUAGAGCUGGCUUGGUUGAGCCUUUGUCUGAUCAAGCUCAGCUUGAAAUUAACUGCAAGCCUGAAGUUUGUCAGCAAGCUGAUUUUAUUUAUUAUUUGAUUAGCAUAACCAAUCCUAAUUUAUCAUCAAGCCAAACAUGAGUCUAUUUUGAUUGCUUCAUUACCUUAAAUCAAGCCAAAAUCAAGUUGAAUUAAAGUUUAACCUUUGAUUCCCCUCAAAGGCUUCAUCAUGAAUCAUUAAUUGUGAGGAAAAACCCAUUAAAUAUACUAUCGGAUGAAAUAUAACUUUUUGAAACAUAAUAUUUUAACUGAGCUAUUAAUCAAACUUUUGCAUAUCAUCACUUUGUGAAACAUAUUUUAUGUUCCUAAUUUCGUCUUAUCGAGCUAUGCCUAGUCAACUCUGGUUUUUUCAGGCUCAGCUCAAAAUUAAAUUCGUGCCUGAGAAACAAGUUCAGUCUCAGCUCGAUUAACUUCAAACAGUUUGAUCAAGAACGCAAGCUGCUCAAAUUAAUUGAUAACCCUGGUUAUAUUUAGAGCAUAUAAUAAGCAUGGAAUUUAUCUGCAUGUGUGUGAAAAGCUGGUAGAGUCCUGAAGUAUUAAAGAUUUCAUAUGAAUGCAGUAGCAGAGAAUCUAAUUAUAGAAAUCCAUGGAAAUUUCAUGUUCUUUAAAAUAAUGCAAAAUUUAUAAAUAUAGCUAAGCAUGCCACAUCUUGUCACAUAUACAAAAUCUUCUGCUAAGAGAAGGGUAGAGAUAUAUGGACAAACUAACAAUGGUAUAAGAUAAUUAGGUAGGGAUAUGCACAGUGUUAUGUGCAUUGAGAUAAUCUGUAAAUUGGAGAGAAAAUUACUGGCAUAUUUAAGUGGAGCAGCUCAUAGGAUAAACUUAGAACUGUGCAUAUGAAAGAAAGUUUAAAAGUAAAGUCAAUAAAUAAGAAUGUAGCCAACUUAUUAAGAUAGCUAAUUAUUUGCAGUCAAGAUUACAGGUGCUUCUAUUGAGGAUUCUCGUUUUGGUUGCGUGGACUAGAAACAGAGGAAAACCAUGCCAACUUGCCUAAUACUAUUCACUGAAUCGCUUGAGUGAAAGAAAAAGAGAAAGGGACGGAUGUGGUUUCCUUGAAUUGAGAAGUGCAUGUGGUCCUUUAGGCUCUUGGCAUUGGGGUGAUCAUUGCAAAUGACAUCAAUGCUGGAGAUCUUAGAUCAGUCUUGCAGACUCCGGAUUCUAAGCUGAAAACUGAAACUAUGGUUGAUGCCCAUCCUUAAUAUAAAUUUGGCAUUAACUAAUCAGACAUUUGCUUAGCACUAGUAAUGCCAGUCCAAAAUGCAGAGGAAAUAAGGAAGGAGCUGAUGUCACAGAAUUACGGGUGGUACUCAAAUAGAAGCCACAAGGAAAAAGAAGACAUGAAAGCUUGGGGAAUAUAGAACAAGACAUUUAAUAAUGUUUAUACUCAUGGUAACUGAAGAGAGGAUCAAGGGACUAACAAAUAGGCUGAUGGAAGCAAUCAAAGGGACUGGAGGAAGUAUGUCAUUGUGUAGGCUAGACAGGCAUAAGUAAUAGGGAUCCACACUCCAAUAAAUGGAAGAAGGCCUACAUCUUAUAGUACUAUUUCCCCAUGCCUCCCGGGUGAAGUAUCCUUCUAUAGAUUUUCUUUUGUGUAGUUGUAUGAUUGCAAGGGCGUGUACCACUUGAUUCAAUUUUUUAACACAGCACGAACCCUCCUGAGAGUAAAUAUGGUAAAAAAAUUUCUAAAAAGCCUCUUAAUGCUGUCACAGUCAUAUACAUUAAUUGUGGUAAAUUUUUAGUUCUGGUCAUAUGGUGCAAAAUACCUGUCCAUUCAACUCUGGAGAAUUCUGUUAAUUGACUGAUCCAAUGGAUGCUCUCAUGCUAGUCACUAUUUCGGUAUGCCAGCUUCUUGACUGGUUUUCAUUGGUGCUCCAUCUUCUGUCCUAUUCAUUCCUUAGCAUGCUUAGAUAUGUUUAGCACUUGUACGUGGGUGGUUUUCAGCAAAACAUUUAAAUGUUAUAAAUGUAUCAGGAGAAAUUAGGUUCUGUAACCUCAGAUUAACAUCGCCACAAUGAUAUUUAAUGAAUCAUUCCUUUGAAUGCAAAAUGUGAAUUGGAGCAUGAAAUAUUAGACACGUAUCUUAUUUGUCAUCUGUAUUAUCUUCUUGACAUCAAUGGAGCUCCAUGAAGUAUUAAAUCAUCAAUCAUAUAGCGAAGUAAUAAAGAGUAUACAAGUGUCUCCUGGAAAUAGAGAAAAUUAAAGAGAAUCAUGCAUCACUUUUAUCAAUAGUUUUGUCUUUCAAACUUACUGGAUCAUCUGGAUGUCUCUUUUAUCCCAAUCUGUGUAAUAGCCCAGCGGUUGCAUCCGUCUUCCAAUUGGCAGAGGUUUCAGUUCAUACUUUGAGAGGUUCAUCCAACAGUUCUGGAUAUUCUUGUCAUCUCUUUAAAAUUAUUGGUGGUGCACCCACCUUUAUGCUUGGAGGGCAGAAAAACUUUGAUUUAAUUGAUCAUGAAUAAGAAACUGUCAGUCACGACUCUAUACUUUCCACUGGUGCGCCCAUGUUUUGUAGUUCAGGAACUUCCUCAGAGCAGGCAUACUUGCAAAAGUGAGAGUACUCCAGAGUCCAGAGCCUGGAGUGAUUGGAGCAAUUUAGAUAAACAUUUGUAAGCACUAAGGAUCGAGAAAUUAGGCAGAAACUGAACAACUAAGUUAUGCAAAGAAACAAAACAGAAAUCAGGAUCAUUUAUAGGGAGGUUAUUCAUACUUGUUUACCUCCAAGAGUAGCUUGUUGGCAACCAUGUCCACAGCAAGCAGUCCAUCUCCAAACGAGUUGACACAAGCAAUCCCACCACAAGAUGCUGUCCUCACCUUGAAGGAGAUGGUCCUUAGAGCCUCCCCCAUGCUCACUAGCAGGCUGAGUAGAAUCUUUUCUGGGGUUGCCUUUGUCAAGAACAACUCCUGUUGCUCCAUCAACAUAUUCUCAAUAACAUGAUCGAUCUUUCACAAUCAAAGUCCUUUAGCAGCUAAUUUUAGUGCAUGACCCUCUAAAUCAAAGCAGGAGGGAGGGAACACCAGCCAGCUAUCUUUGAUAUUCUCGGCAAAGACUUUGACAUCACUAACAGAGAUUUACCAAAGAGUGAACUUGAUUUAAGACCCUGCAUGAAGGAAAGGGCAAAGGAUAGUGCAGCCAAGUGGGGGCUAUACAACACAUUAUGUGGAAUUGUUCUUCAAGCAUGUAUAGCUUGCCACUCCAGUCUUCAUUUUGACCAGCAAAAGGAGAAAAUUAUGCACAAAUCACUGCACAGAGUGUUGGUGGCAGUUGGCUGUAUUAUUCAAGGAAUCGUUACUUUUGUUGAAGCAGCAGGGCCCAGCACACAGAGGGGAGUGGAGGGGCCAAACCAUGGCAAUCAGCGAACCAGAUAAGUAGUUCACGCUGCUUUGCCACAUGUCAUGUGUGCAGUUAGUGCUAGGGGAUGAGGCUAAUGCUGAUGAUCAUUCGUUGGAUUAUGUGGUUCUAAUCAUGAAGAUUGAGCACCCUAACGGGUAGUUUGCAGCUUUUUUUAUUCUUUGGUCCAACAAGAAACACUUAAACACAUGAACUAUUAAAGAUUAAAAUGAUAUAAAUGAAUCAGGAGAAAUUAAGUUCUGUCACUUCAUAUCAACAUCUCAUUGGAUCAUUGCUUUGAAUAUAAAAUGGGGAUUGCGAUGCGAACUGUUAGACACAUCUUAUUUAUCAGCUGUAUUAUCUUGUUGCAUCUUCUUGUUGUGAUGUGCAAAAUUACUUGGUGAGGAAAAGAAAAUUUCUUGAGUUUGGAUGGACUGAUUUUUUUUUUUUUGCCUUGUUGUGGCUUGAUCGUUGGUGUUAAGUUCCAGUGUGAUUUUCUGGAUCCUGCCUUACUCCUGGAUAUUAGUUUGCUUAGCCUUUUGUUUAAAAUAUGAAGCCCAGCUUUACGUUUUAUUUAGUAG